RNAcentral lists this transfer RNA (76 nucleotides) under Treponema sp. RNAcentral's name for it is "tRNA-Lys". It matches the Rfam family "tRNA". Rfam says of the family: Transfer RNA (tRNA) molecules are approximately 80 nucleotides in length. Their secondary structure includes four short double-helical elements and three loops (D, anti-codon, and T loops). Further hydrogen bonds mediate the characteristic L-shaped molecular structure. tRNAs have two regions of fundamental functional importance: the anti-codon, which is responsible for specific mRNA codon recognition, and the 3' end, to which the tRNAs corresponding amino acid is attached (by aminoacyl-tRNA synthetases). tRNAs cope with the degeneracy of the genetic code in two manners: having more than one tRNA (with a specific anti-codon) for a particular amino acid; and 'wobble' base-pairing, i.e. permitting non-standard base-pairing at the 3rd anti-codon position. Lineage: Bacteria; Pseudomonadati; Spirochaetota; Spirochaetia; Treponematales; Treponemataceae. The record is from RNAcentral.
GUUCCAUUAGCUCAGUUGGCAGAGCAUUGGAUUUUUAAUCCAAGUGUCCGCAGUUCGAGUCUGCGAUGGAACACCA